GCAUUGGUUGUUCAGUGGUAGAAUACUUACCUUCCAUGUGAAAGACCUGGGGUCAAUUCCCCACCAACGCA
This 71-nucleotide transfer RNA is filed under the name Loxodonta africana (African savanna elephant). It matches the Rfam family "tRNA". Rfam says of the family: Transfer RNA (tRNA) molecules are approximately 80 nucleotides in length. The record is from Rfam by way of RNAcentral. Lineage: Eukaryota; Metazoa; Chordata; Mammalia; Proboscidea; Elephantidae.